This 388-nucleotide ribosomal RNA is filed under the name uncultured bacterium. RNAcentral's name for it is "bacterial SSU rRNA". It matches the Rfam family "Bacterial small subunit ribosomal RNA", at positions 30 to 416 of the family's 1533-position model. The record is from RNAcentral.
AUUGAACGCUGGCGGCAGGCCUAACACAUGCAAGUCGAAUGGUAACAGGAAACAGCUUGCUGUUUCGCUGACGAGUGGCGGACGGGUGAGUAAUGUCUGGGAAACUGCCUGAUGGAGGGGAUAACUACUGGAAACGGUAGCUAAUACCGCAUAACGUCGCAAGACCAAAGAGGGGGACCUUCGGGCCUCUUGCCAUCAGAUGUGCCAGAUGGGAUUAGCUAGUAGGUGGGUAACGGCUCACCUAGGCGACGAUCCCUAGCUGGUCUGAGAGGAUGACCAGCCACACUGGAACUGAGACACGGUCCAGACUCCUACGGGAGGCAGCAGUGGGAAUAUUGCACAAUGGGCGCAAGCCUGAUGCAGCCAUGCCGCGUGUAUGAAGAAGGCC